UUAUAAAACGAGGGAACCAAGAUUUGGAUGUGAUGACUUUCCUAAGGUCACACAGCUGGUAAGAGGCAGAGCUGGGAGGAAACCCAGGGCUGGAUGUGGUUGGAGAGGAACGGCAACAGCGUUGACUGGCUUCACGUUAGAUUCCUGACUGUUGAUCUCAAGUGAGCACUUAACGCUGCCCAGUAAUCACACAGUAUUUCUCUGAUCUAAUCAUCUUUUCACUCUCUAAGUCAGUGUUCCCCAGAGAAACAGAACCAAAAGGAUAUGUAGAGAUAUAUAGAAAGUGACUUAUUAUGAGAGAUUGGCUCAUGCUAUUAUGAAGACUGAAAAAGCCUGCGAUCUGCCAUCCGCAAGCUGGAAGCCCAAGAAAGAUGGUGGUGUAGGUCCAGUCCAAGCCUGAAGGCCUGAGAACUAGGGGAAUCAAUGGUGUAAGUCCCAGUCCCAGUCUAAAGGCCCAAGAGCUCCAAUGUCUGAGGGCAGGAGGAGAUGUUUGUCCCAGCUCAAGCAAAGAGAGCACAUUUGCCCCUCCUCUGCCUUUUUGUUCUAUUCAGACCCUCAACAGAUUGGAUGAUGCCAACCCACACUGAUGACAUACAGAAGAAAGGCCAUAUGAGCAUAGCUAGAAGGUGGAUGUCUACAAGCCAGGAAGAGAGCUCUUCAUAGAAUCUGACCAUGCCAGUACACUGACCUUGGCCUUCCCAGCCUCCAGAACUGAAUUCAGGGAAAGCUCAGCUGUGUGGUUCUGUCGUGAAGUUGUCGUCAAGACGUUGGCUGGAGCUGCAGUUGACUGAACCUUUGACCAGGGCUGGAGGAUCCACUUCCAAGAUGGCUCCCAUGCAUGGUUUGUAAAUUGCUGUAGUUGCUGGUGGAAGACCUCAGUUCCUCCUUGGGGGUCCUGCUUGGUAGCCCUCCUCACAGAGUGGCUUGAAUCACCUCAUGGCCUGGUAACCUAGCUUCCACCACAGCAAAUGAUCCAAGAUGCCAAGACAGAGGCUGCAAUCCCUUUUAUGACUUAGCCUCAGCACUCAUCUGCACCAUACCCUGUCGAUCGUGCAAAGUCUGUUGGAGAGAGGAGACCACAGAAGUGCAUGAAUAGCAGAAGGUGUCAAGAGUUGAGCCAAGCUACUCCAUGGUGUUGCUGCCUUAGCAUCCAUUUUGUUUAGCCAAGUGGCCUGCAGGGACCUUAAACUGACACUAGCCCCCUCAUGCAAGCACAUAUCCCAGAUAGCAGCCUGCAGAGUCACAAGCAAACGAGGAGCUUGGAAGUUGCCGCUCUGUUGUAACAAGUAAAAAGCUGAACAAACUGAAAAGUCUGCAACUCUUCUUAGAUCCGUAACAGAAAUGAGGUCACAGGGCAAACUUCUGCCCGCCACACUGGAGGUACAGACAGAAUCAUUGUGAAGAUUAAAUGACACAUAAUAAGCAAAAACACCCAGGAUACAGUAAGUGCGCAGUAGAGGUUCACGUCCAAAUAAACUGCCUGCCUGCAAAGCUUUGUCUUAGGCUCUGCUUUCAAGGGAAUCCAGAUUCAACCAAGUACCUACUAUGCGCCAUCACUGUGCUUUCAUGAAAGAGAAGCUGAAGAAAUGACAACCUAAUAGAAACACGCAGUGCUCUACUCCAAAGACCUUGACUCCAGAAUAAAGUGUUGUCUUAAUCACAGCUUUAGUUCUUCAAACCUUGGCUUUAGGAUUAAUAGCUCACAGCUCUAUGUUCAAAGAAAUAUGGUGCAUCCACCAUUAAUAAAGUGAAGCUUCCUUUGGCACAAUUAUUUGGAAAGUCCCAAAUAUAGUUGAUGUGGAUAGACGUCACUACACUGGCAAAUGGGAACCCAUCAAGUAUCUACAAAUAAAAGAGCUGACUCAUUGAAGUUACUUAAUAAAGAUGGUGAAUGGAUAACUGAAUAUUUGAAUAAAGAGCUGAGAAGAUAUAAAAAGUGAAGCGUCCUAGAGACAUGGGUCACUGGCAGCACGACUGCAGCCCUUUCUAAGGAAUGGAUUCCAUCCAUGGCCUUUGCUCCAUGAAGUCUUUGCUCAUUCUGUCGACUGCACCCACGCCUCCACUCCAGCACACACACACAGAUUGGACAAGCCUGACCCAAGAGUCUUUCCCUUGGAAAUUCGGAAUAAGAAAAAAUGGAGUGAAUUACCAGCAAGAGAUUUUCCUGGAGUUGUCAAAUCGCCACAGGCUUGAGAAAGCCAAAGCCAUGUGCAAGAUGAAAUUAUGAAGUGGCCUGAAGAAGAGCGAAUAAGCUGGUCGGGAAAGGAUGACCUUGAGAGAAUCUAAGUCAGAGAGAGGCCAGGAAAGGGGACAUGAAAGGGACCAAGGGAAAAAGAUCAGUGCUUAAAACCAGGUAACAUCCAGGGCCUUGUGGCUGCGAUCCAUUCUAAUUUGUGUGAAAACUUCAAAUAAUACCCACGUCUCUUCCCUAAAGUCAAGUGAGUCUCUGUUCCUUAGGGUUCAAAGAGCAUUGAUGAAAACAGUACGAUUCUGUAGGCCCCUGGUCCAGUAACAACCUAUUAGGAGAAUUUUCAAAUUUGUACAAUUUUCCUUGCCAACCCCCCCCCCCAUUUUUAAUGCCUUAUAACUGUGUAUCUUACAGUCAAAAUUCCCAGUUUACUGUUUCCUAAAAUGUUUAUUUAGACAUAGUGUAGGAAAGAGGAAGAAGAUGGAAAGCAAACAAUGGCCACACCCCACCUUUCCCAAAGCUAACCUAGAGUUCUUUUCCCAGGUCACACCCACAUUCUUCCACCUCCUUCUGGAUGGAGCCCAUUGCAAAGCUUUGAAGUCCAAUUUGCAAAUACAUCUGGGUGAUGCAAAAAUCUGCUUGCUCCGGGAAGUUACUGGGCUGCUACCUUUAGUCAUAGUAAAGGCAUGUAUCUUUCCCAUUGCUGGUGAUGUUUUUAUGAGAUUGGUUAUGUUAUGCAUUUGUUGAGUAAUAAUAACACUGCAUUUGUUAUUUUAUAACAUGACCGAAGAGUGUAUUAAAACAUGCCACGAGUAUUAUGUACAGCAACAGAUUUAUGAAACAUUAGUUAAAAGAUGAUUGUUAUUUAGACCAACAAAAUCUUUAAAUAAAAAUAUUUGAAUAAU
Delphinapterus leucas (beluga whale) is the source of this 3093-nucleotide non-coding RNA. The record is from RefSeq and is a predicted model, not a curated record. NCBI's taxonomy places the organism in Eukaryota, Metazoa, Chordata, Mammalia, Artiodactyla, Monodontidae.